GCAAGUCGAGCGGUAACAGGAAUUAGCUUGCUAAUUUGCUGACGAGCGGCGGACGGGUGAGUAAUGCCUGGGAAUAUGCCUUAGUGUGGGGGAUAACUAUUGGAAACGAUAGCUAAUACCGCAUAACGUCUUCGGACCAAAGAGGGGGACCUUCGGGCCUCACGCCAAAAGAUUAGCCCAAGUGGGAUUAGCUAGUUGGUAAGGUAAUGGCUUACCAAGGCAACGAUCCCUAGCUGGUUUGAGAGGAUGAUC
RNAcentral lists this ribosomal RNA (252 nucleotides) under uncultured bacterium. RNAcentral describes it as "partial 16S ribosomal RNA". It matches the Rfam family "Bacterial small subunit ribosomal RNA", at positions 57 to 305 of the family's 1533-position model. The record is from RNAcentral.